GAUGAACGCUAGCUACAGGCUUAACACAUGCAAGUCGAGGGGAAACGAUAUUGGAAGCUUGCUUCCGAUAGGCGUCGACCGGCGCACGGGUGAGUAACGCGUAUCCAACCUGCCCACCACUUGGGGAUAACCUUGCGAAAGUAAGACUAAUACCCGAUGAUAUCCCUAGACGACAUCUGAAAGGGAUUAAAAGAUUUAUCGGUGAUGGAUGGGGAUGCGUCUGAUUAGCUUGUUGGCGGGGUAACGGCCCACCAAGGCAACGAUCAGUAGGGGUUCUGAGAGGAAGGUCCCCCACAUUGGAACUGAGACACGGUCCAAAACUCCUACGGGAGGCAGCAGUGAGGAAUA
Molecule: ribosomal RNA, 348 nt
Filed under: uncultured bacterium
Lineage: Bacteria
Description: bacterial SSU rRNA
Rfam family: Bacterial small subunit ribosomal RNA
Source: RNAcentral